GCGUCGUACAACGCGGAGGUGGCACGCCGGCUCCUGGCGGGCGAGAAGGGCCCCGUACGGGACGCGGUGCUGCUCAACACGGCGGCGGCGCU
Molecule: transfer RNA, 92 nt
Filed under: Streptomyces candidus
Lineage: Bacteria; Bacillati; Actinomycetota; Actinomycetes; Kitasatosporales; Streptomycetaceae
Description: tRNA-Arg
Source: RNAcentral